This 962-nucleotide ribosomal RNA is filed under the name uncultured organism. RNAcentral describes it as "bacterial SSU rRNA". It matches the Rfam family "Bacterial small subunit ribosomal RNA", at positions 533 to 1500 of the family's 1533-position model. The record is from RNAcentral.
CCCGAGCGUUAUUCGGAAUCACUGGGCUUAAAGCGUCCGCAGGCGGGUUCGCAGGCGUCUCGGGAAUCCCACGGCUCAACCGUGGAACUGCGGGGCGAACCGCGCACCUUGAGGUAGGUAGGGGUCAUCGGAACGUACGGUGGAGCGGUGAAAUGCAUAGAUAUCGUACGGAACGCCGAAGGUGUAGACAGGUGACUGGGCCUAUUCUGACGCUCAUGGACGAAAGCGUGGGGAUCAAACAGGAUUAGAUACCCUGGUAGUCCACGCCGUAAACGAUGCGCACUAAGUCGGUGUCCCUUCGACGGGUUGCCGGCCGGAGAGAAAUUAUUAAGUGCGCCGCCUGGGGAGUACGGUCGCAAGGCUAAAACUCAAAGGAAUUGACGGGGGCUCACACAAGCGGUGGAGCAUGUUGCUUAAUUCGAAGCAACGCGAAGAACCUUACCUGGGCUUGACAUGCACGGAUUAGCUCUUGGAAACAUGAGUGACGCCCUCGGGUGGAACGUGCACAGGUGCUGCAUGGCUGUCGUCAGCUCGUGCUGUGAAGUGUUGGGUUAAGUCCUUUAACGAGCGCAACCCUUGUCGCUAGUUGCCAGCGAGUAAUGUCGGGGACUCUAGCGAGACUGCCGGUGUCAAACCGGAGGAAGGUGGGGAUGACGUCAAGUCCUCAUGGCCCUUACGCCCAGGGAUGCAAACGUGCUACAAUGGCAGAUACAGAGCGACGCAAGACCGCGAGGUGGAGCAAAUCGCAAAAAGUCUGCCCCAGUUCGGAUUGCAGUCUGCAACUCGACUGCAUGAAGUUGGAAUCGCUAGUAAUCGGAGAUCAGCUACGCUCCGGUGAUACGUUCCUGAGCAUUGACACACCGCCCGUCAAGUCAUGGAAGCUGGUAGUGCCCGAAGUCGCCUCACCUNCAGGGGUGCCCACGGCAAGAUCGGUGACUGGGACUAAGUCGUCACAAGUAACC